ACACUCCUACGGGAGGCAGCAGUGGGGAAUAUUGCACAAUGGGCGCAAGCCUGAUGCAGCCAUGCCGCGUGUAUGAAGAAGGCCUUCGGGUUGUAAAGUACUUUCAGCGGGGAGGAAGGCAAUACGGUUAAUAACCGUGUUGAUUGACGUUACCCGCAGAAGAAGCACCGGCUAACUCCGUGCCAGCAGCCGCGGUAAUACGGAGGGUGCAAGCGUUAAUCGGAAUUACUGGGCGUAAAGCGCACGCAGGCGGUCUGUCAAGUCGGAUGUGAAAUCCCCGGGCUCAACCUGGGAACUGCAUUCGAAACUGGCAGGCUUGAGUCUUGUAGAGGGGGGUAGAAUUCCAGGUGUAGCGGUGAAAUGCGUAGAGAUCUGGAGGAAUACCGGUGGCGAAGGCGGCCCCCUGGACAAAGACUGACGCUCAGGUGCGAAAGCGUGGGGAGCAAACAGGAUUAGAAACCCUAGUAGUCCCAUGA
RNAcentral lists this ribosomal RNA (476 nucleotides) under uncultured organism. RNAcentral's name for it is "partial 16S ribosomal RNA". It matches the Rfam family "Bacterial small subunit ribosomal RNA", at positions 333 to 800 of the family's 1533-position model. The record is from RNAcentral.